Long non-coding RNA from Pocillopora damicornis (cauliflower coral), 1355 nucleotides. The record is from RefSeq and is a predicted model, not a curated record. NCBI's taxonomy places the organism in Eukaryota, Metazoa, Cnidaria, Anthozoa, Scleractinia, Pocilloporidae.
GAAAGGCAAGACCGGCUCGCACGGAACCUACAAUGGCUGGAGUGCCAGCUUCUUCUCUCGUCUCAAUCUCUUUCAGAGCCACCUCCACAACCUGAUGGGACAGGGUUCACAAACAAAUUCUUUUUUGCCACAAGGAUACCUGUGAAUAAUCAGCACAAGAAAUCAGAACAGAAAACUCAAGGGAGUCAAAAUCCGCGUGGUAAAUCUCAAGACAAAAGCUCCUGCCUUUCGAACCGGUAUGGAAAUCAAAGGGCUGGGGUUCUGUCGUAUGAUUGAUUAUCACAGCUUCCAAUAUUCCCGGACAAAAUGAAUGAGAAUAUAAACAAAAAACAGACAACGAUUUAGAAGUCCAGCUCAUUUAAAAAUCGUAGGCGAGUUGCGUGCAUUAUUUUUCUGCAGAGGAGCUCCACACGUACGACUUUGUUAUCGACAGUUAGGCUGCACGCGGCCUGUGAUUGAUUUCUGCAUAUAUCCACGAAAAGAUGCAUUUCGGGAACUUUAUAAAAACAUCAGCCUCUGUUGGGUGCGUAGAUAUGCCUACUUCCUUAAUUGAUUAUGGAUAUUGUUAGAGCUUAUAAGAUCCGAGAAGAGAACAGUUUUUUGCUAAGCAAAGCUCGAGGAGGAUCAUGACAUGUUGUUCGCUUCAAUGAUUAGAUAAUGUCCAUGAAAAAAGAUUUAAAUUUAUUUUAAUGCCAAAUGAGGGCCUCUUUCUUGGCCAUAAUUCAGUCGACUUCAGUAAGAGAUUUUUUGGGUGCGCUGAGCGAAACUUCUUGGAAAAGUUGCCCAAAAAUAAUUUACUCUUUAUGGUGUCGACCGUAUAGCACUGGUGUAAUUUUAUGAUCAAAAUAUGUUUCACUUGAUCAAUUAUUUAGGAAGACUUUCAUCGGACUAAAGUCAGGGAUAAUGCGGCUGAAGUUUAUUCAGUCACGAGUCAAUUACACGUGAAUUUUAAGGCCAGUUUUUCAACUAUGGGUGUUGUUAUCCGAUUUUCCAGAAAUCGAAAACGGUUUUUUCCCUAACCUUUUUGUUACUUCCCAAAAUCGUGCACUUGUUUCGUGCACUUGCGUAAAGACACUGUUUGCAGAUGGUGGAACAUAAAAGUUUACAGAUGGCGGAACAUAAAAAAAACCAGUUAACAGUGAUGUCUUGAUUUGAUAGGCUUCUCAUUUACAUACUUUACCUCUGGCCUGCAGAACACGGGUCACCGUUUUCAAUAAUUUUAAUUUAUCUUUUACGCUCUAUUUUAUUAUUAUCAAAUUUUUUCAUCUUUUUCAGAUGAGCGCGCGUGCGACAGCGGGAGGAAGAACGCGAAGAGAAUGAUUCUCGCUUCGCGCGCCUGAAAAAAAAAAACAUGA